UAUUGGUCAAUGGGCGCGAGCCUGAACCAGCCAAGUCGCGUGAGGGAUGACGGCCCUACGGGUUGUAAACCUCUUUUGUCGGGGAGCAGAUUCCGUUACGUGUAACGGAGUCGAGAGUACCCGAAGAAAAAGCAUCGGCUAACUCCGUGCCAGCAGCCGCGGUAAUACGGAGGAUGCGAGCGUUAUCCGGAUUUAUUGGGUUUAAAGGGUGCGUAGGCGGACUGUCAAGUCAGCGGUAAAAUACGGGGGCUCGACCUCCGCCCGCCGUUGAAACUGACGGUCUUGAGUGGGCGAGAUGUAUGCGGAAUGCGUGGUGUAGCGGUGAAAUGCAUAGAUAUCACGCAGAACUCCGAUUGCGAAGGCAGCAUACCGGCGCCCAACUGACGCUGAAGCACGAAAGCGUGGGUAUCGAACAGG
Molecule: ribosomal RNA, 417 nt
Filed under: uncultured bacterium
Lineage: Bacteria
Description: bacterial SSU rRNA
Rfam family: Bacterial small subunit ribosomal RNA
Source: RNAcentral